CCUACGGGGGGCUGCAGUGAGGAAUAUUGGUCAAUGGACGAGAGUCUGAACCAGCCAAGUAGCGUGAAGGAUGACUGCCCUAUGGGUUGUAAACUUCUUUUAUAUGGGAAUAAAAUGUUCCACGUGUGGGAUGUUGUAUGUACCAUAUGAAUAAGGAUCGGCUAACUCCGUGCCAGCAGCCGCGGUAAUACGGAGGAUCCGAGCGUUAUCCGGAUUUAUUGGGUUUAAAGGGAGCGUGGGUGGAUCGUUAAGUCAGGUGUGAAAGUUUGCGGCUCAACCGCAACAUUGCAGUUGAAACUGGCAGUCUCGAGUACAGUAGAGGUAGGCGGAAUUCGCGGUGUAGCGGUGAAAUGCUUAGAUAUCACGAAGAACUCCGAUUGCGAAGGCAGCACACUGGACUCAAACUGACACUGAGGCACGAAAGUGUGGGUAUCGAACAGGAUUAGAUACCCCUGUAGUC
Molecule: ribosomal RNA, 460 nt
Filed under: uncultured bacterium
Lineage: Bacteria
Description: partial 16S ribosomal RNA
Rfam family: Bacterial small subunit ribosomal RNA
Source: RNAcentral